This 599-nucleotide unclassified non-coding RNA is filed under the name Desmodora sp. 1 FH-2016. RNAcentral describes it as "sequence contains ITS1, 5.8S rRNA gene, ITS2". The stretch from base 226 to 378 matches the Rfam family "5.8S ribosomal RNA". The record is from RNAcentral. Lineage: Eukaryota; Metazoa; Nematoda; Chromadorea; Desmodorida; Desmodoridae.
GUUCUGGACCCAUCUGGGCUGGAGUAUGGGUUGAGCAUGACUGAACUUAUUGAGGCUAUGCCGGUGCCUGCCCUUGUUUGGCCUUUGUCAGGUUCCUCAACUGUCGAGCUGUGCCAAACGGGAAUCACCUCCUUGUGGGGAAAGGCUUAAUGAACUGCUGUGAAAGCGUCGCCUAAAAUUCCUAAACUAUGAGAAUUGAAGCUACGUGAGUGGCAAAAAACAUACUAUUCUAAGCGGUGGAUCACUAGGCUCGUGGAUCGAUGAAAAACGCACCAGGCUGCAAGAAUUAAUGUGAAUUGCAGACACAUUGAACAUCGAUAUUUUGAAUGCACAUUGCGGUGUCGAGUUUUUCUCGUCACCACAUCUGUCCAAGUGUUGGCUCUAUUAGAAUUGCUCCCGCCUCUUAGGAGCAGUAUUGAAUUGGUGAGCAAAAUAUAUGUUUGCCAGUUUUACUAGAAUUGAGAUGUGGGAGCAUAUGGAUGCCCCAUCUCUGUUUCGCCAGAUGCAAAGAAGGUGUGCAUACAUCCACAUCAAAACUCUGACCUUGGAUCAGUUGUGAAUACCCGCUGAAUUUAAGCAUAUAACUAGGCGGAGGAAAG